Molecule: long non-coding RNA, 423 nt
Filed under: Gallus gallus (chicken)
Lineage: Eukaryota; Metazoa; Chordata; Aves; Galliformes; Phasianidae
Source: RNAcentral
CACAGUUGCUCUUCGAACUUCUGGGUAGGAAGAAAACAGAGCAAUAAAGAAUGGUUUUAGAAAUAAUUAAAACUUGAAAAAAAUCAUAGCAACUGUUUGGGAAACAACUCAUACUGAGAAGGCAAGGACAUUUCAGCUAAUCUUGGCUACAUCUGAUCCAGAGAACCACAGAAUUCUUCAGCAUGCUCUGAACUGAACACCUGGACUGCUUCUAGGUUUGAAAUAAAUGGAUCUGGGAUAGACAUUCUUCCUUUCACAGAAAUAAGGACCUGGCAGCAUUUGGCUGAGAUGCUCACCUUGAACUCAUAGAGUCACCAGGAACCAUGGCAAACUGCCAGGUCAAAGAGAUCUUUAUCAACUUGACACCUGCUAGAGCUUGCUGUGAUUCUCUGCUGAUGUUCUUGCUUGUUGUCUGACAAAAAC